CAUGGCUCUCUGAUUUUAAUAUAUAGAGAGUCAGACCUGCCCGGUGAAUAAUUUUUAACGGCCGCGGUACUUUGACCGUGCAAAGGUAGCAUAAUCAUUUGCCCUAUAAUUGAGGGCUAGUAUGAAUGGUUCGACGUAAGCAAGACUGUCUCUACAACGAUUUUUUAGAAUUUGAUUUUUAGGUGAAGAAACCUAAAUUUUAUUAAAAGACAAGAAGACCCUAUUGAGCUUUAAAAAAGUAAACAGAAUAAUAAUACAUUUAAUUUAAAAAGUUUAUCUGUUUAAUAUUUUGGUUGGGGCGACUAAGGAACAUACGAAGCUUCUUUAUUUAUUAAAGUUUUACAAAUUUUGAUCCAAUUGUUUUGAUUAAAGAAAUUAGUUACCAUAGGGAUAACAGCAUAAUUCUUUUUAAGAGUUCUUAUCGAAAAGAGAGUUUGUGACCUCGAUGUUGGACUAGAAUAUCCUGAAGAUGCAGCAGUCUUUAAGGGUUGGUCUGUUCGACCAUUAAAAUUCUACGUGAU
This 521-nucleotide ribosomal RNA is filed under the name Cyphoma signatum. RNAcentral's name for it is "partial 16S ribosomal RNA". It matches the Rfam family "Bacterial large subunit ribosomal RNA", at positions 1814 to 2604 of the family's 2925-position model. The record is from RNAcentral. Lineage: Eukaryota; Metazoa; Mollusca; Gastropoda; Littorinimorpha; Ovulidae.